GUAGGUGGCAAGCGUUGUCCGGAAUUAUUGGGCGUAAAGCGCGCGCAGGCGGUCCUUUAAGUCUGAUGUGAAAGCCCACGGCUCAACCGUGGAGGGUCAUUGGAAACUGGGGGACUUGAGUACAGAAGAGGAAAGCGGAAUUCCAAGUGUAGCGGUGAAGUGCGUAGAGAUUUGGAGGAACACCAGUGGCGAAGGCGGCUUUCUGGUCUGUAACCGACGCUGAGGCGCGAAAGCGUGGGGAGCAAACAGGAUUAGAUACCCUGGUAGUCCACGCCGUAAACGAUGAGUGCUAAGUGUUAGGGGGUUUCCCGCCCCCCUUAGUGCUGCAGCUAACGCAUUAAGCACUCCGCCUGGGGGAGUACGGCCGCAAGGCUG
Molecule: ribosomal RNA, 375 nt
Filed under: uncultured organism
Description: partial 16S ribosomal RNA
Rfam family: Bacterial small subunit ribosomal RNA
Source: RNAcentral